Molecule: long non-coding RNA, 1017 nt
Organism: Phragmites australis (common reed)
Lineage: Eukaryota; Viridiplantae; Streptophyta; Magnoliopsida; Poales; Poaceae
Exons: 2
Source: RefSeq, a predicted model, not a curated record
UGGCUACCUGAGAGGUCAGGUCGCCGGUGCCAAGCACCAGCCCCGCUCCCCCCUGUCGAACUGCUACUGAGUUUAGUCGUUAGGUCGCCGGUGCCAAGCACCCGCCCCCCUCCCUCUGCCGAACUGCUGCUGAGUUUAGCCCACGAUGCAAUCGCCUUCUUCAUCAGCUACGACUUCCCAUCGGUGCCGAUACAGGAACUACCUUAGCUCAAGCACGCAGCUCAACACCAGCUGAUAUUCUGAAGGUAAACAAAUUUCCUAUUUCCAUAUCAUAAUAUGUCCAUAGGAUAGAUAUGACAGGGAGUGCAAAUAGUUACAGGAACAACACAAAAAAGAAACAGAAAGUCUAUUAUCUGCAGCUGAACCAACGCCAGCAGAAUACACCGUGAGUAUUACCAUGUACUUAUUUCAACAGCAUUACCAAAAAGGAGGAAAAACAGAACAUAACAAACCAACAAUUCUUUGUACCAUACAGGCUUUAGCUACGAAUGUGAAAGAAUCGUCUAAACGACACCUCACUGAACAAGACCCAGAUUCAUUUGAUCCAAAAAACAUAAUCAAGUUAAAAUUCUUUCCCGCUACGGUUUCACGCUCAGUAUUUCUAAUCCAUGUAAAAAGGAUGAAUCAUCUUAUUUACUCAAACUCAAUAUACUUCGCAGUAAAAGACAUGCUAUAAGAAAACUGCUCUUCAAAGACUAAACUAUUACCAACUAAACUUCUAAUGGGGUAAGGCCUUCACCAAUAAACAUACACAUGCAUUUCCUUUUCAGGUUCGUCCAAAUAAAAAAAAAACUUGACUAUUGUACUCUUUCAUUUUCUUUCAGAUCUCAAGUGUUGCCACUAAAUAUGAGCACCAGCUGUUUACCUAACGCCUACCUCACAUGUAUCUCUAACCUCUCAAUGUGUAAAUAUAGUAUCUUACUGUACAGAUAAUACUAUCAGAGAGCAAUUCCUAUGUACCACCCUACCAUAUACAACUACUAUGUACUUUCCUUUCUAAACUAUAUUUUUUGUUAU